GCAGAGAUAAAAACACGGUCUGGUUGGUAGUCCAGGCGUACCCUUUAGGGUAUCAGUAACCCUCCUCCUGGUCGUCCGUUCUUUU
Molecule: non-coding RNA, 85 nt
Filed under: uncultured Muricomes sp.
Lineage: Bacteria; Bacillati; Bacillota; Clostridia; Lachnospirales; Lachnospiraceae
Description: yjdF RNA
Rfam family: azaaromatic riboswitch aptamer (yjdF RNA)
Source: RNAcentral